GAGGAAUAUUGGUCAAUGGGCGAGAGCCUGAACCAGCCAAGUAGCGUGCAGGAUGACGGCCCUAUGGGUUGUAAACUGCUUUUAUGUGGGGAUAAAGUGAGCUACGUGUAGUUUAUUGCAGGUACCACAUGAAUAAGGACCGGCUAAUUCCGUGCCAGCAGCCGCGGUAAUACGGAAGGUCCAGGCGUUAUCCGGAUUUAUUGGGUUUAAAGGGAGCGUAGGCCGUGGAUUAAGCGUGUUGUGAAAUGUAGACGCUCAACGUCUGAAUUGCAGCGCGAACUGGUUCACUUGAGUAUGCACAACGUAGGCGGAAUUCGUCGUGUAGCGGUGAAAUGCUUAGAUAUGACGAAGAACUCCGAUUGCGAAGGCAGCUUACGGGAGCACAACUGACGCUGAAGCUCGAGGGUGCGGGUAUCAAACAGGAUUAGAUACCCUGGUAGUCCGCACAGUAAACGAUGGAUGCCCGUUGUUAGUUCACCUAAGAAUUAGCGACCAAGCGAAAGCAUUAAGCAUCCCACCUGGGGAGUACGCCGGCAACGGUG
RNAcentral lists this ribosomal RNA (542 nucleotides) under uncultured bacterium. Its description in RNAcentral is "bacterial SSU rRNA". It matches the Rfam family "Bacterial small subunit ribosomal RNA", at positions 356 to 896 of the family's 1533-position model. The record is from RNAcentral.